GACGAACGCUGGCGGCGUGCCUAAUACAUGCAAGUUGAGCGCUGAAGGUUGGUACUUGUACCAACUGGAUGAGCAGCGAACGGGUGAGUAACGCGUGGGGAAUCUGCCUUUGAGCGGGGGACAACAUUUGGAAACGAAUGCUAAUACCGCAUAAAAACUUUAAACACAAGUUUUAAGUUUGAAAGAUGCAAUUGCAUCACUCAAAGAUGAUCCCGCGUUGUAUUAGCUAGUUGGUGAGGUAAAGGCUCACCAAGGCGAGGUGACAUAGCCGACCUGAGAGGGUGAGCGGCCACGCCGAGACUGAGACACGGCCCGAACCCCUACGAGAGGGAGCAGUAGGGGAUCCUCGGGGAUGGACGAAAGUCUGAACGAGCAACGCCGCGUGAGUGAAGAAGGUUGUCGGAUCGUGAAACUCUGUUGGUAGUGAAGAACGUUGGUGAGAGUGGAAAGCUCAGCAAGUGACGGUAACUACCCAGAAAGCGACGGCUAACUACGUG
RNAcentral lists this ribosomal RNA (497 nucleotides) under uncultured bacterium. Its description in RNAcentral is "partial 16S ribosomal RNA". It matches the Rfam family "Bacterial small subunit ribosomal RNA", at positions 28 to 507 of the family's 1533-position model. The record is from RNAcentral.